This 204-nucleotide long non-coding RNA is filed under the name Physcomitrium patens. RNAcentral's name for it is "long non-coding RNA (PPAT_LNC014778)". The record is from RNAcentral. Lineage: Eukaryota; Viridiplantae; Streptophyta; Bryopsida; Funariales; Funariaceae.
AUAUUUUUACUCGCUUCUCUGUAAUUGGUAUUUUUAACCUUGUUCCAUCUAACUCCCGCAAUGAGUAAGUUGCAUUAUCAUGAAUAGUUGUUACCACAUACGGUCUAAACCAUCAUUUAGAAUUUUUUUUUAAAGUACUAUGUUGAUUAUCAAAGCUACUAUCAUAGACUAAAAUCCAAUCACCUUCUUCAAUUGCUUUAGGCC